AAUUGAAAGAAAGAAGAAUGUAGUUGAAUGAUUUACUAUAAUAAAUCGAGACAAGAAAAUUAUAGAGAAAAUUUCUGCACCUACCGUACAAUCUAAUAGACAGGUUAUGUUGCAAAGAUUUUAUCUUGAAUUAUGUGUUUCUACUUUAUUGAUUUCAUUGCUAACCAAUGGUCAUAAUUAAUUUGAUAUAUGAUCUCCAUAAAUGUAAAAACUUAACCAAUCAAACAUUAAAAAUUGUCUCCGAUAAAUUUCUUCUUAAAUAGCAAGCAUUUCAUUCAAAAUCAAACUCAAUCGAUGAAUCAUUCGCUAUUAUCGAUCAAUCAUAUUUUAUACGCACAAUUUUAAAAUUAAUUCAAUAAAUGAACCAAAACACAAAAACCUAACUUUAGUCAAGCCUAAAUUUAAAAAUUAUCUGCAACAAAUUUCCACUAAAUUUCAAACAGCAAGCACUUCGAUCAAAUCACACCCACAAAACCACACGAAAUCACAUCAAUCAAUGAAAUAUCAACAAAUAUCGACAAAUUAUUCAAUAUUACUGAUCAAUCAUAUUUUGUAUCGCACAAUUCCAAAGUUUUAUUUAAUCUAAUAAAUGAAUCAACUUCAUAAAUGUAAAAAUCUAACCUUAAAAAUGAUAGAAAUUUUUCCAAAAGUUAAUCAUUUUCGAACAGCAAAUCACAUUCAAAUAUCGUUUUAUCGACAAACUAUCGAUGUUAAACUCGGAUCACUUCUCAUCCAUCAGUCAUUAAUGUUAACUAUUCACUAUAAAUAUUUCUUCCGAAAAAAAUCAAAAUUAUCGUAAAAAGAACGGUAUCAAGAUAACUCGAACGAGGGUGCUCGAAUGUCGUAUAAAAUAAUUUACAGUUCGUCUAUGCAAAAUACAACCACCAGCAAAGUGUGUGAAUGCACGUCGAUACGCGGCGUCUUGCUUGACCAACGAUGCAAGACGAGUCGAUAGGCUUAUCGAUUAGUCGACGCGGUCCAUCGCGAGACGUCAGUAUCGAACAGCGGCGAUUCCUGUCCGAUAUCUAGUCGAUAUCUAGUCGAUUUCUAACCAAUUCAUGGUAGUUGAAUGAUUCAGGGGAACGUUGACUGUGAGCUCGCCCCUGGCGCCGUGGCCUGUUUAAUUUUAGGGUAUUACGCGUGCAGGCGGCAGCCUGGUCGAGGCUAAAGGGUACCUCUGCCUCGGUAUUUGCCAAGAUAUUAUCGUGAAAAAGGGAAAGGAGAGAAGCAGUGGGUAACGAGGAGGGCGUGUCCGUUGGUUCGAGACGAGCCUCUAGGAUGCAUCCGACACUGUUUCGCGAAUUAGCCCCGUCUCGAAUCAUCGUGGCCCAUCGGGGAAAUCGUCGUGACUUGGGGUUGCUAGGCAAUACGUCGAAUGGGUAUCCUGUUCUUUGGAAUUGUGCGAAUCGGUUCAAUGCCUUUGCCAAUGAUGGUUCUCUGAACCAGUGUUUCUCAACUUGUGGAUCGUGAUUCUUAAAAAGAUCAGCAUAAAUUGAGGCACAAGUUAAAUAGAAAUGUAAAAUACAUGCGGUGAUAAAAUACAGAAAUAGGUUUUGUAAAUAGAAGAGAAAUUUUUAACGGAAUACGUGCAUAAAAUAUGCAAGGUGACAGAGAAAGUGCAGCCAUCCUGAUGAAAAAUCAACUUCAAAUAAAAAAAGAACAAAAAUUUCUUCAAAUUAAAAAAAAAACAAAUGUAAAAGUAGUUUGCAUAUAUACUACAACUAAAACAAAACAGAAAUCAUACCUGAGUUCGAGGCGCUGAUUUUUUAUCUACGGAUGAAAUCAUAUAAUACGAUUAUGAUAUUUGCAUAUAUUUCUUUCCUGCUGCAAGCAAGAAUUGAUAUUCUUCAAUCAUUUCCAUAGAUCAAUCUCUUGAAGUAGAAAGAACGAGCGGCCUGUAAGGAAUAUCUACAGAAAUGAUUAUUGGCAAAUAACCGGAGGUAUAAUUAUAUCAGUAUAUAUAUCAGAGGAUGUACUAUGAAACGUUGCACCGCUGAAAGUUCGGUAUAUUUAACAGUGGCCGCACGUCUGAGAUAUAACUUUGAUAUCGGAGUUGCGUGCAGAAUCACCGAAUUAUAUCGACUUGCAGCGAUCGAAGUGUGAAGCGUGCCGACGAUCGUGUGUUGAAUAUAUAAUCGACUUUUUGUAAGCCUUGAGAAACGAGUAUCCAUUCCUUUAAAAAUUCAACAAAUUUAUUCAAUUAUAUUUAUUCCAUCUAUUCGUUUAGAAAUUUAUAGAAAAUUUGAAUUAAAUGAAAAUUAGAUACAUAUGGCAUAUGAAUGUAUGCUGAAUAUAUAUUGCAAAUAUAAAACAAGUUUAACAAAAAAAGAAAGAAAUAAAAAAUUAGAAUAAUGAUAUCAUUUAUUUACAAAUUGCAUGGAUAGUUAAUGUAUUAUUUCUCAACAUCUAUAGCUUGUUGUAUGUUUGUAUAUUGAUGAUAUUCAAGAUAUUAUUCAAGGAAACAUUAACAGUUCAUCACAUUAGCCAUCACACGUUUAAUAAAAAUAGAAAAAUUCCAUUAUGAAGAAUCAGAUUAUCAUUGAAAAUAUAAAAAUGAAUUGUCUGGAAUAAAAAAAAUUGCAUCUUCAGAAUUUAAAUAAUUAAUCUUUAAACAUAGAAUAUGUUUUAAAUCUAAAAAUGAUUCAUAUUUCAAAAAUUUAUAACACUUUUAUAGUUUCCCAAAACUUUUUGAAAACAUGCUUUAUAUUUUAAAUAUAAAUCAAAUAAUUUAACUUGUUCAUUUUUAAACAAAUCAAACGUACACAUAGUUUAAACAUGUUUAAAAAUUAACGAGUUGAAAUACAGUCAAACUUGACAAGGUAUCCUUUAUCCUAAUCAUAAAUUUUACAAAAUUAGUCAUGCUUAUACGUUCAGUAAUGGUCCAUUGAUAAAAAUCUGAUACAAAUGCAAGUGUAAUUACGUAAGAAGAAUGAUCUGCUAUCUUUUUGUUACUAUGAACAGUUGUUAAAUUUAACAAAAAUCAUAAUCUGCCUCUAUAAAUCCGGUCGGCUUAGUUCUUAAGAAUUUUAUCUUGAAAGAGUGAACGAAUGGAAGGAACUACACGUUUUAAUCGAACUCUAAGUCUGAUGUAAGUACUAGCUAAAAGUCUCUCGUUCUUUGCUUUAUAUCGGUGUUAAAUCUUUCUUGAGAUAACACUGUUCUACCAGUUUCUACGUUCCUUCUCGAGAAGAAAAUUUACAAGUGGCAAGUAAAUUCUAGGAUGGAUGUUUCCUUAAAACAUGCUUAAACUAUUCUUAGAACAAGAGCACGGAUAAUUGAAGCGGAUGCAAUCGCGAGAACUGAAAUGCCGAAACGAGUCUUAAACGAGUUCGAAAGAUAAAGACUCCAUAAUGCUUGGCAAGAUGAAUCGUACCAUAUAUGAAGUGUGAAACCUCGAACGUUCGUCACAUUUUAUGGCUCAUUUUGUUACUCUUUAUUAUUCAUUGACAUGUAUCCUUGUUGACUUUUAAAUAUUCAAGACUAGUUAUUUUACUAGAGAUAUGUAACAGAAAGAUAUAAAUGUCUCAUCAAAUAUACUACAAAUAAAUAUGACUUUUUUUUAAUGAUUGACCUUUCACUAGAGAUAGAAUGUUACAAAUUUUAGGAUUUUGAAAUCUUUCAUAAAGUUUUUCAAGUUCUUUG
Molecule: long non-coding RNA, 3642 nt
Filed under: Apis mellifera (honey bee)
Lineage: Eukaryota; Metazoa; Arthropoda; Insecta; Hymenoptera; Apidae
Description: uncharacterized LOC102655033, transcript variant X4
Source: RNAcentral